GACGAACGCUGGCGGCGUGCUUAACACAUGCAAGUCGAACGGAAAGGCCCUGCUUUUGUGGGGUGCUCGAGUGGCGAACGGGUGAGUAACACGUGAGUAACCUGCCCUUGUCUUUGGGAUAACUUCAGGAAACUGGGGCUCAUACCGGAUAGGAGCUCCUGCUGCAUGGUGGGGGUUGGAAAGUUUCGGCGGUUGGGGAUGGACUCGCGGCUUAUCAGCUUGUUGGUCGGGUAGGUGCUUACCAAGGCUUCGACGGGUAGCCGGCCUGAGCGGGUGACCGGCCACAUUGGGACUGAGAUACGGCCCAGACUCCUACGGGAGGCAGCAGUGGAGAAUAUUGCACAAUGGGCGGAAGCCUGAUGCAGCAACGUCGCGUGCGGGAUGACGGCCUUCGGGUUGUAAACCGCUUUCGCCUGUGACGAAGCGUGAGUGACGGUAAUGAGUAAGGAAGCACCGGCUAACUACGUG
RNAcentral lists this ribosomal RNA (468 nucleotides) under uncultured bacterium. RNAcentral's name for it is "partial 16S ribosomal RNA". It matches the Rfam family "Bacterial small subunit ribosomal RNA", at positions 28 to 507 of the family's 1533-position model. The record is from RNAcentral.